RNAcentral lists this ribosomal RNA (442 nucleotides) under uncultured bacterium. RNAcentral describes it as "partial 16S ribosomal RNA". It matches the Rfam family "Bacterial small subunit ribosomal RNA", at positions 338 to 795 of the family's 1533-position model. The record is from RNAcentral.
CCUACGGGGGGCAGCAGUGGGGAAUAUUGGGCAAUGGGCGCAAGCCUGACCCAGCAACGCCGCGUGAAGGAAGAAGGCUCUCGGGUUGUAAACUUCCUUUGACAGGGAAGAGCAGAAGACGGUACCUGUCGAAUAAGCCAUGGCUAACUACGUGCCAGCAGCCGCGGUAAUACGUAGGUGGCAAGUGUUGUCCGGAUUUACGGGGUGUAAAGGGCGUGUAGCCGGGCUGACAAGUCAGAUGUGAAAUCCGGGGGCUCAACCCCCGAACUGCAUUUGAAACUGUUGGUCUUGAGUAUCGGAGAGGCAGGCGGAAUUCGUGGUGUAGCGGUGAAAUGGGUAGAUAUUAGGAGGAACACCAGUGGCGAAGGCAGCCUGCUGGACGACAACUGACGGUGAGGCGCGAAAGCGUGGGGAGCAAACAGGAUUAGAUACCCUUGUAGUC